Molecule: ribosomal RNA, 305 nt
Filed under: uncultured bacterium
Lineage: Bacteria
Description: bacterial SSU rRNA
Rfam family: Bacterial small subunit ribosomal RNA
Source: RNAcentral
UUCCUACGGGGCGCAGCAGUGGGGAAUAUUGCACAAUGGGGGAAACCCUGAUGCAGCGACGCCGCGUGAGUGAAGAAGUAAUUCGUUAUGUAAAGCUCUAUCAGCAGGGAAGAAAAUGACGGUACCUGAGUAAGAAGCCCCGGCUAACUACGUGCCAGCAGCCGCGGUAAUACGUAGGAUGCGAGCGUUAUCCGGAAUUACUGGGUGUAAAGGGAGCGUAGACGGUUAAGUAAGUCUGGAGUGAAAGGCCGGGGCCCAACCCCGGGACUGCUCUGGAAACUAUUCAACUUGAGUGCAGGAGAGGU